UGACCCUGUUCCAUGUUCUCUCUCUAUUCCUUGUUUCCCUUACGCCAUCUAUCUCCCAUUCUCUCCAUCUCGUCUGCCUGAACUCCUCCAAAUCAUCUCCAAGGACCCAUGUCUCCAAAUCCCCCUUCCUUCUGUCUAAACCUGUGCCCAUCUUUUCGAACCCAUCUGAACCUGGCAACAAUAGCAAGAGGCCGACAUUGAUCUUUCCAUCCUCCUUUCCAAAUUGAAAGAAAUCAUCAGCCUCUUCCAGUUCAUCUCCGAGCCCAAGGCCAAGUACCAGCAACUCCUCCACUAUAGCACCCAGCUUCCUCCUCUCAACCUCCGCCCACAAAUCCUAGCAACCCGUCGCCUAAUCAUAG
This 359-nucleotide long non-coding RNA is filed under the name Phoenix dactylifera (date palm). RNAcentral describes it as "long non-coding RNA (PDAC_LNC006520)". The record is from RNAcentral. Lineage: Eukaryota; Viridiplantae; Streptophyta; Magnoliopsida; Arecales; Arecaceae.